This 21-nucleotide microRNA is filed under the name Ornithorhynchus anatinus (platypus). RNAcentral's name for it is "oan-miR-802-3p". Its record names the gene oan-miR-802-3p. Lineage: Eukaryota; Metazoa; Chordata; Mammalia; Monotremata; Ornithorhynchidae. The record is from miRBase by way of RNAcentral.
AGGGAGGGUCUUUGUCACUGA